GUAAAUAUUGUAAAAAUUGAAAUAGCUACCCUAUUUUUGUAUAUAGUUACGUUAUUUUUAUAUAUAGUGACUCUAUGUAAAUAUCGUCAAUUUAGAUAAAGUUACUUUAUUUUAGCAUGUAGUGACCUUUAAAACGUUGCGUUUGUCAAAAAAAAAAAAAAAAAAAAAAAGACCUUUAAAACGGUUGAAUUGAUUAUAUGUAAGGUUGGAAUGAUCUUAGGGCUUUAGAACCGUCUGAUCUUUUGUGCUAGUAAUGAAUAGCUAAGAUUGCUUGUUUUUAGUUUUCACCAUAAGCUCUGUUUUUAGCGGAACCUCCCCGUAUAAUAACUAGCUGAAUAAUGGACGGAUCAGAUCAUUUAAUAUCUAGAAUUCAGGAUCAUGCGAUUAGCUCUUCACACUCCAAAUUCUCUCUCCUCCAACUAAUCUCUCUCCUCCAUUGAUGCUAGUGCUUUGAGUUCUCCAUUAAACCAGUUUUCGAGCCUUUUCUUCUCCAUUAAAGCGGUAUUCUUGCUCUCUGUACUUCAUUGAAGUAGCUUGUGAGAUAAGAUGUUUUUUAUUUCUCUAUUUUCGUGCUCGUCCAUGGUGUUGUAUAAUUUGGUGAUUUCACGUCGAAUUGUCUGAAAUUUACAGGUACAGGGGUUGGCUUGGGUGUUACAAUUAGGGAUGAGUAAGGGAAGAUUAUGGCUGUUAUGGUGCAAAGAUUGAAUGCAUAGGUGGCUGUUGUCUGUUGUCAUGGCAGAAUCCUUGCUGUUAUGGUGCAAAAAUAGUAAGCAAUGUACUUCUGAUCCAUUUCUAUUUGUUCAGUUUUGUUUGCUUAUACAUUGCAGCCUGUUGCUAUAAAAAGUGGUUGUUUACUUUGCAAUUUUCAGAGCAUGAAGAAUUUGGCAUUAAACAUCAUAAACUACUAGUGCAAUUUUCCUCUGAAAGCUCACAAAGGCAAGCCUUAUCUACUUUGCUAACAUUUAAGCAGUAAUUUAAAGAGCAUGAGAAUCAGAUUGUAUAACUGAAACUUGAUCAAGAGUAGACUUGUAAACAUUCACCUCAAAACUAUCAAGAUCUGCCUCAUUGGAUUGACUUGUACGUGAACAUGCUCAUUAGAUUGGCACAAAAAUUGAUGCAAAAUCAUGGUCUGCAAUCUAUAUUGCAUGUUUAUUCUUUAAUGUAAUUACUUUUGGGCUUUGGACUGUAUUCUAGUGUGCGAGCAAGCAUUUUCUAUGGCACAGAAUUUGGAUCAGAUGGCAGAGGUGUCCUGCAAGUUGAUAUUGUUGUCAUGCAAAUUUGUGAUUGUGUUGGGAAUAUCUUAAAUAAGGGAGUUCUUAGAUAUGUUAUAUUUUUUUUUUAUUUUGGAAAAGGUUAGGAUCGGUGAGAUAUAUGACUGAUAAUGGAUAUAUUUUUUAAUCCCACCAAUUCUUUUGGGGUUUAAAAUUUAGGGAAUGAAUAAGAUUAGAAAGGUAAAUUCCUAGCUACAUCAGUUGUCUCUGAAGUAAAUUAAAAAGAAUUUAAAGUAAGUAAAAAAAAAACUUUAAAGUAAACCUAUUAGCUCAAGUGGUAUAGCACUUUGCGGAUACAUAGAGAUGUAGGUUCAAAUCCUACAUAGGUUAUUCAAAAUACGUCAAAAGCUACAUGAAUAAGCAAUUAUAAGUGACUCCGCCUUUUUUUUACCAUAAUUCAGAAAAUGGUACUUUAAAGUCGUCAAUCGAUACAAAAUAGUAAACUAAUACAUCUCAAGAGUAAAGUAAAUUAAAAUAUAUCAAAAGUAAAUCAAAUUAUCUCAAAAGUAAAUUAAAAUAUUUCUUUUGAGAUUGUACUUUGAAAGAGAAUGAGAAAUUUGUUACACAUGCCUCCAAUAUAUCUAAAAAAUAGUAAAUCAAAAUAAUAUUUCAAAAUUAGAAUAUCUCUUAAAUAAAUCAGAAUAGCUCGACAAGAAAUCAAAAGUAGAUCAAAAUAUCCCAAAAGUAAAUAAUAAACACUAAAAAGUAAUUAUUAAUUAAAAUAAUAAAAAUUAGUGUAUGUAUAAUCAAAUGACACAAAGCAAUGAAUAGUCGAUCUUCAUGGGUACCCUACAUCAUUGACCUUGAACUCUCUAUAAAAUGAGCCAAAACUCUACAAACAUGAAGAGUGAUCAAAUAUAAAAGAAGAAUGAGGUCAUAGUAAAGGUUUUCAUAUUUAAAGUAAAUAAAACAAUAAAAAAAAGUAACUGAAAAAAUUUAGAAAUCAGAUUUUCAAACAUAGAAACUAUUUUUUUUACGCUAAAGGGAAAUAGAUUAUAUAUUACAUCAAGGUGACAACAGCCAACCUAAACAAAAGAUUGUUCAAAGAGAUUAAAAGUACCAGCAUCCUACUACUUAGGGAAGACAUAAAAUAAACUAAGCAACAAAAAAUUAAAGCAAACAUAAUGCCAGCAAAAGACUUGCAGAGAAAGACAAGAUGAGCAUAAGGUGUUGAGCAGCCGUUAUCAUCAGGAUUAAGCCAUAGGGAUUGUUGGUAUUUCAGCAGCAUAAGUGUCAAAGAUCUCAGCAGGGGGAUAGUGGAAUAGCACCCUUUCACCAAGUUGAACUUUAGUCCUUACAAUAGUUGCUAGUUUGUGAGCCACGUAGUUAAUUGUUCUGCUAGCAUGCAAAACAGUCACUGACCAGUUUCUUUGCAAUAACUCAGCCACAUCUCUUAUAAUGUUCCCUGAUCGUGGUCUCUAAAGGAGUUAGGAUUGCUCAGCAUUUUCCCUAAAGCCUCUGCAUCUGUUUCUAGUUCCAAGAACUUGAUUUCUCCAUCCCAGGAAAUAAGGAGACCCUCCCUUAUAGUCAGAAGCUCAGCUAAAGCUGCAGACAUAGCAUUAAAAUUUAUAGCAUAACAUAUUUGCCAAGUACCCUUAUCACACCUUAAAAUGCCACCACCUCCAGCUUUGUAUAGAUUGAGUUUAGUAGCCACAUUACACAAAUGAACCUACGUAGGAUUCAAACCCACAUCUUUGUGCAUUUGCACAAUGCUCUACCAGUUGAGCAAGUAGGCUAGUGUAUCAAAGUAAAGAAAAAUCACUCUAACAUAAAUAAAAAUAUAACAAAAGUUAAAAAAAAAAAAAAAAAAAAAA
Long non-coding RNA from Chenopodium quinoa (quinoa), 3085 nucleotides. RefSeq lists it as uncharacterized. NCBI's taxonomy places the organism in Eukaryota, Viridiplantae, Streptophyta, Magnoliopsida, Caryophyllales, Amaranthaceae. The transcript has 2 exons. The record is from RefSeq and is a predicted model, not a curated record.